Pelmatolapia mariae (spotted tilapia) is the source of this 291-nucleotide non-coding RNA. The record is from the annotation of a RefSeq genome assembly. NCBI's taxonomy places the organism in Eukaryota, Metazoa, Chordata, Actinopteri, Cichliformes, Cichlidae.
AUGUUCUCUGUAGCUCUGCUGCUGCUGCUGGCUGCUGGAUCCUGUGUAAACUGUGAGCAGCAGACACAGUCACCCUCUGUGAUUGUGCAGCCAGCUUGGAUCAGACAGCCUGCAGGGAAAGUACUGGAGUGGAUUGGGGUGAAAGAUACUGGGAGCUCUUACUAUAAAGAUUCACUAAAGAGCAAGUUCAGCAUUGACUUGGACACUUCAAGCAAGACAGUGACUCUAAAUGGACAGAACAUGCAGCCAGAAGACACUGCUGUGUAUUACUGUGCCAGAGUCUCACAGUAA